Molecule: unclassified non-coding RNA, 349 nt
Filed under: Hevea brasiliensis (rubber tree)
Lineage: Eukaryota; Viridiplantae; Streptophyta; Magnoliopsida; Malpighiales; Euphorbiaceae
Source: RNAcentral
GCUGUAUCACUGUAGAUGUGUCUUAAAAAAGAGGAUUUUUUGUUGUUUAAGGUGGGAUUGAUCCACAUCAUUAUUCUUUGUUUGGAGUUUGUCCUGCUGCUGCUGCUUUAUUAAUGUGCUCAAGUAAACCCAUAGGAAAGUUGACAGAAGGCACCAAAGGCCUUAUUUCUUGUAUAUUUUCAGAAGGAAGCAGCAAUAACAUGAUAUAUCGUGUUCUGUAAUUUUGCAAUUUUACGGUAGAGAGUUGCUGGUUUUUGGGCGAACAAGUUGUGUUUGAUGUGACACUCGUUACACCCCUUGUGGUUGUGGGCUUCUUUAUGCCUCUUCUUCUGCUUAUAUGCAACCAUGC